This is a non-coding RNA of Pelobates cultripes (western spadefoot toad), 239 nucleotides long. Lineage: Eukaryota; Metazoa; Chordata; Amphibia; Anura; Pelobatidae. The record is from the annotation of a GenBank genome assembly.
GGGUGACCAGUGACAGAGGGAGGGGGUGACACAGUGAGGGAGGUGGUGACUAGUGACAGAGUGAGGGAGGUGGUGACUGUCACUAGUCACUAGUCACCACCUCCCUCACUCUGUCCCUAGUCACCCCUCCCUCUGUCACUAGUCACCCCCUUCCUCACUCUGUCACUAGUCACCCCUUCCCUCCCUAACUCUGUCAACUAGUCACCACUUCCCUCCCUCACUCUGUCACUAGUCACACC